This 83-nucleotide transfer RNA is filed under the name Agrilutibacter niabensis. Its description in RNAcentral is "Lysobacter niabensis tRNA-Ala". The record is from RNAcentral. Lineage: Bacteria; Pseudomonadati; Pseudomonadota; Gammaproteobacteria; Lysobacterales; Lysobacteraceae.
GAGCGCAUGUCAUUGAUCGAAAAGGCCGAAAAUUCGCAUUCGCAAUGCGAAGGUCGGGAGUUCGAUCCUCCUCCGCUCCACCA